UGUGCCAGGUCAAUUAAUGAGACUGGAUCUAACGCACCAGCUUUUUUCUAUUUUCUUAUUUAAUCCAUUUUAUUUCUUUAUUUCAUUUUUAUUUCAAAAAAUCAUAACUCUUUCAUUUUAAUUCCAAAAAAUAUGGGACCAAUUGCAUUAUUUCCCUUUCUAAUUCUAGUUUCUGAAAAUGAUUUUUAAUAUUUUAUAUUUUGUCAUUUGAUAUUUUUUAUGAAUUUUCUCUUUUG
Molecule: long non-coding RNA, 236 nt
Filed under: Lathyrus oleraceus (garden pea)
Lineage: Eukaryota; Viridiplantae; Streptophyta; Magnoliopsida; Fabales; Fabaceae
Description: Pisum sativum (pea) long non-coding RNA (PSAT_LNC021142)
Source: RNAcentral